This 496-nucleotide ribosomal RNA is filed under the name uncultured bacterium. RNAcentral describes it as "partial 16S ribosomal RNA". It matches the Rfam family "Bacterial small subunit ribosomal RNA", at positions 29 to 523 of the family's 1533-position model. The record is from RNAcentral.
AUUGAACGCUGGCGGCGUGCCUAACACAUGCAAGUCGCACGCGAAAGGGGGCAACCCCAAGUAGAGUGGCGGACGGGUGAGUAACGCGUAGGAAUCUACCUAGUAGUGGGGGACAACCCGGCGAAAGCCGGGCUAAUACCGCAUACGACCUAAGGGUGAAAGCAGGGGAUCGCAAGACCUUGCGCUAUUAGAUGAGCCUGCGUCCGAUUAGCUAGUUGGUGAGGUAACGGCUCACCAAGGCGACGAUCGGUAACUGGUUUGAGAGAACGACCAGUCACAUUGGGACUGAGACACGGCCCAAACUCCUACGGGAGGCAGCAGUGGGGAAUAUUGGACAAUGGGGGCAACCCUGAUCCAGCGACGCCGCGUGUGUGAAGAAGGCCUUCGGGUUGUAAAGCACUUUCGGCAGGGACAAACAAGACGGAGCUAACAUCUCCGUUCCUGAUGGUACCUGAAGAAGAAGCACCGGCUAACUCUGUGCCAGCCGCCGCCGUAA